CGAAUUUGAACUACAUUAUUACUAAUUUAUUAUGAGGUUAAACCCACCCCUUAGUUUAGAUAGAUCAAAAAAAAAAAAAUAAAUAAAAUAAAACAUAUAGAGGAUUAGACGAGCAAAAGUAUGCACUAUGGCCAAGACCCCCCUAUAAAACGCCCGCUAGUCCCUCCAAGUUUCCACACCAACCCAGAUUUGUAAAAGAGAAUACAAUGUACAACGAAGGGAACAUGAAACUAAACCGUGUGAAAGCAUAGAGCCGGUCCUUAAGGUAGUCCGUGCAGGCGCAGCCUAGGGCCCCACUUUGGAAGGAUCCCUAAAAAUUUUAUAUUUCAUGUAAAUAACAUAUAAAGAAAAAGUAAAAAAAAUAUCAUAAUUCAUUUGUUAGUGUAGUAAUUUUUUUUUUUUUUCAAUUUCCCAUCUCUUCAUUUCUAUAAAAUGUUUAAAUCAACUAUCACAUAGUCUUGAAGAUUGUAUUUUAAAAUAAUAAAAACUUGGAAUUUAUAUUUUGGUUUUCAAUAAUUUAUUAUUCAAUGAAGUAUUUCAAUAUCCGAUUCAUUAGUAUGAUGUUGUAGUAAAAACAAAAGAGAAACAAUUGACGUUGUUGAAUUUAUUAUACUUGUCAAUCAAGUUAUAUUGUUCUUUACUCUCCUGAUCAUCAAAUUUUAUUAUUCUUUAAUGUCAAUCUUAGACUCUUGACUGCAAACAUUUAGUAUAUUUGCGUCUAAAAAUGAGAGACGGGUAAUAUUUAAAUAAUGUUUGUAUAUCUAUCUUCUUUUGAUAUUAAUUUUUAGGGGCUUUUAAAUCCAGGUCCAAAAACAUAGAUGGUUGUUAGGAGUGAAACAGUUAUCUAAUUACAUGCUUUUAUUUUUUAUACUCAUUUUAUAUUAAUAUCUUCAAACAAAAAAAACUAACAUACUAACAUAAAUAUAUCUGAUAAACAUUGUACCUUAACUUAAGUAACAAAUAUAUGCAGAGUGUUGAUAUUCUCCCCCGGUGUCUUAUUUCCUUACCCACCAUUUAAUAAAAAUGUUAAUGACAUGUUUAACCUUUUAAACGAAGACUUUUAAACCCUAUUUACUUAAUUACUAAAUAUUCAAAAAAACAUAAUUUAAAAAUAUUAAAUAAUUGUGGAUGGGAUGUGAUAUCUGUAGUGGAGAGAGGUAGGUGGGAUUAUCAUGUGGGGUGGGAAAGGAGGACAUUGGGGUGGGGCUAGUAGGACACUGGUUGGGAUUGUCCUUUUUUUGAAUGUAUAUUAUACUUAUAAGCUAGAUAUGAAACCUAACUAAAAGGUUUUU
Long non-coding RNA from Pyrus x bretschneideri (Chinese white pear), 1292 nucleotides. RefSeq lists it as uncharacterized. The transcript is spliced from 2 exons. NCBI's taxonomy places the organism in Eukaryota, Viridiplantae, Streptophyta, Magnoliopsida, Rosales, Rosaceae. The record is from RefSeq and is a predicted model, not a curated record.